RNAcentral lists this ribosomal RNA (1480 nucleotides) under metagenome. RNAcentral's name for it is "bacterial SSU rRNA". It matches the Rfam family "Bacterial small subunit ribosomal RNA". The record is from RNAcentral.
AGAGUUUGAUCCUGGCUCAGGACGAACGCUGGCGGCGUGCCUAACACAUGCAAGUCGAGCGGAGACAGUGAGUAGCUUGCUAUGAUCUGUUUUAGCGGCGGACGGGUGAGUAACGCGUGAGCAACCUUUCCCAGACAGGGGAAUAACACACCGAAAGGUGUACUAAUACCGCAUAAGACCACGGGAUCACAUGGUUCUGGGGUAAAAGAUUUAUCGGUUUGGGGUGGGCUCGCGUCCGAUUAGGUAGUUGGUGAGGUAACGGCCCACCAAGCCGACGAUCGGUAGCCGACCUGAGAGGGUGAUCGGCCACAUUGGGACUGAGACACGGCCCAAACUCCUACGGGAGGCAGCAGUGGGAAUAUUGGGCAAUGGAGGAAACUCUGACCCAGCAACGCCGCGUGGAGGAAGAAGGUUUUCGGAUCGUAAACUCCUGUCCUUGGAGACGAGUAGAAGACGGUAUCCAAGGAGGAAGCCCCGGCUAACUACGUGCCAGCAGCCGCGGUAAUACGUAGGGGGCAAGCGUUGUCCGGAAUAAUUGGGCGUAAAGGGCGCGUAGGCGGCUCGGUAAGUCUGGAGUGAAAGUCCUGCUUUUAAGGUGGGAAUUGCUUUGGAUACUGUCGGGCUUGAGUGCAGGAGAGGUUAGCGGAAUUCCCAGUGUAGCGGUGAAAUGCGUAGAGAUUGGGAGGAACACCAGUGGCGAAGGCGACUAACUGGACUGUAACUGACGCUGAGGCGCGAAAGUGUGGGGAGCAAACAGGAUUAGAUACCCUGGUAGUCCACACUGUAAACGAUGAAUGCUAGGUGUAGGGGGUAUCGACCCCUUCUGUGCCGCAGUCAACACAAUAAGCAUUCCGCCUGGGGAGUACGGCCGCAAGGUUGAAACUCAAAGGAAUUGACGGGGGCCCGCACAAGCAGCGGAGCAUGUGGUUUAAUUCGACGCAACGCGAAGAACCUUACCAGGUCUUGACAUCCACUUAAACUUACAGAGAUGUAAGGUGUGCUUGCACAAAGUGAGACAGGUGGUGCAUGGUUGUCGUCAGCUCGUGUCGUGAGAUGUUGGGUUAAGUCCCGCAACGAGCGCAACCCUUAUCUUCAGUUACUAACGCGUGAGGGUGAGGACUCUGAAGAGACUGCCGGGGACAACUCGGAGGAAGGUGGGGACGACGUCAAAUCAUCAUGCCCCUUAUGACCUGGGCUACACACGUGCUACAAUGGCCACGACAGAGAGAAGCGAAAUCGCAAGGUAGAGCGGAACUCAAAAAAGUGGUCCCAGUUCGGAUUGUGGGCUGCAACCCGCCCACAUGAAGUCGGAGUUGCUAGUAAUCGCGGAUCAGCAUGCCGCGGUGAAUACGUUCCCGGGCCUUGUACACACCGCCCGUCACACCAUGGGAGUUGGGAGUGCCCAAAGCCGGUGAGGCAACCGCAAGGAGCCAGCCGUCUAAGGCAAGACCAAUGACUGGGGUGAAGUCGGAACAAGGUA